RNAcentral lists this long non-coding RNA (225 nucleotides) under Mus musculus (house mouse). Its description in RNAcentral is "long non-coding RNA chrX:80666312-80666537". The record is from RNAcentral. Lineage: Eukaryota; Metazoa; Chordata; Mammalia; Rodentia; Muridae.
AUGGACAGUGAGGUACAGCGAGAUGUAAGGAUCUUGGACCUGAUUGAUGAUGCUUGGCAGGAAGAUAAGCUGCCAUACGAUGAUGUCACCAUUCUACUGAGUGAGCUUCCUGAGCCCGAGCAAGACAACUGCGGCACCACAGAGUCUGUGAAAGAACAGGAGAUGAAGUGGACAGACCUGGCCCUGUAGGGCUUCCACGAGAACGUCCCACCUGCUGGAAACUGA